CCUUGGAUAGCUCAGCUGGUAGAGUAUGAGACACUUAAUCUCAGGGUUGAUGGUUCAAGUCCCACGUUGGGCA
RNAcentral lists this transfer RNA (73 nucleotides) under Podarcis lilfordi (Lilford's wall lizard). RNAcentral describes it as "tRNA.Lys". Lineage: Eukaryota; Metazoa; Chordata; Lepidosauria; Squamata; Lacertidae. The record is from RNAcentral.